AGUUGGUCCGAGUGCAGUACAACUAAUUGAUCACAACCAGUUACAGAUUUCUCUGUUCCUUCUCCAAUCUCACUGCUUCACUUGACCAUCCUUAA
This 95-nucleotide Y RNA is filed under the name Nannospalax galili (Upper Galilee mountains blind mole rat). RNAcentral's name for it is "Y RNA (ENSNGAG00000004460.1)". It matches the Rfam family "Y RNA". Rfam says of the family: Y RNAs are components of the Ro ribonucleoprotein particle (Ro RNP), in association with Ro60 and La proteins. The Y RNAs and Ro60 and La proteins are well conserved, but the function of the Ro RNP is not known. Lineage: Eukaryota; Metazoa; Chordata; Mammalia; Rodentia; Spalacidae. The record is from Rfam by way of RNAcentral.